AGCGGCGGACGGGUGAGUAACACGUGGGUAACCUGCCCAUAAGACUGGGAUAACUCCGGGAAACCGGGGCUAAUACCGGAUAACAUUUUGAACUGCAUGGUUCGAAAUUGAAAGGCGGCUUCGGCUGUCACUUAUGGAUGGACCCGCGUCGCAUUAGCUAGUUGGUGAGGUAACGGCUCACCAAGGCAACGAUGCGUAGCCGACCUGAGAGGGUGAUCGGCCACACUGGGACUGAGACACGGCCCAGACUCCUACGGGAGGCAGCAGUAGGGAAUCUUCCGCAAUGGACGAAAGUCUGACGGAGCAACGCCGCGUGAGUGAUGAAGGCUUUCGGGUCGUAAAACUCUGUUGUUAGGGAAGAACAAGUGCUAGUUGAAUAAGCUGGCACCUUGACGGUACCUAACCAGAAAGCCACGGCUAACUACGUGCCAGCAGCCGCGGUAAUACGUAGGUGGCAAGCGUUAUCCGGAAUUAUUGGGCGUAAAGCGCGCGCAGGUGGUUUCUUAAGUCUGAUGUGAAAGCCCACGGCUCAACCGUGGAGGGUCAUUGGAAACUGGGAGA
RNAcentral lists this ribosomal RNA (561 nucleotides) under Bacillus thuringiensis. RNAcentral describes it as "bacterial SSU rRNA". It matches the Rfam family "Bacterial small subunit ribosomal RNA", at positions 94 to 640 of the family's 1533-position model. Lineage: Bacteria; Bacillati; Bacillota; Bacilli; Caryophanales; Bacillaceae. The record is from RNAcentral.